UGAAUACGAGAUGCUACGGCGUCGAAGCAGUGUAUGUCAGACUUCCAAGAAAAGCUCGCAAUGUCAUAAAUAAAGAAUGCCUGUACCAUAACCGACACAGGUGGGUAGGUAGAGUAUACUAAGGGGCGCGAGAUAACUCUCUCUAAGGAACUCGGUAAAAUAACUCCGUAACUUCGGGAGAAGGAGUGCCUUCUUUAAGAAGGUUGCAAUAACAAGAUCCAAGCGACUGUUUAUCAAAAACACAGGUCUCCGCUAAGUCGUAAGACGAUGUAUGGGGGCUGACGCCUGCCCAGUGCCAGAAGGUUAAAGAAGUUGGUUAGCUUUUGCGAAGCUGAUGACUGAAGCCCUGGUGAACGGCGGCCGUAACGAUAACGGUCCUAAGGUAGCGAAAUUCCUUGUCGGGUAAGUUCCGACCCGCACGAAAGGCGUAAUGAUUUGGAUACUGUCUCGGAGAGGGACUCGGUGAAAUAGACUUGUCUGUGAAGAUGCGGACUACCUGCACCAGGACAGAAAGACCCUAUGAAGCUUUACUGUAACUUGAAAUUGAAAUUGGACUUUAUUUGCGCAGUAUAGGUGGAAGGCGUUGAAAGUAAUCUUGCGGGAUUAGUGGAGCCAUCAGUGAGAUACCACUCCUAUAAUGUUAGAUUUCUAACUUUGGAUCAUGAUCUGGUCAAAGAACAGUUUCAGGCGGGCAGUUUGACUGGGGCGGUCGCCUCCCAAAUGGUAACGGAGGCGUACAAAGGUUUCCUCUGAACGGGUAGAAAUCGUAUCUAGAGUGUAAAGGCAUAAGGAAGCUUGACUGUGAGACCUACAAGUCGAGCAGGGACGAAAGUCGGUCUUAGUGAUCUGACGGUGCUGAGUGGAAAGGCCGUCACUCAACGGAUAAAAGUUACUCUAGGAUAACAGGCUGAUCUCCCCCAAGAGUUCACAUCGACGGGGAGGUUUGGCACCUCGAUGUCGGCUCAUCGCAUCCUAGGGCGGUAGUACGUCCCAAGGGUUGGGCUGUUCGCCCAUGAAAGCGGUACGCGAGCUGGGUUCAGAACGUCGUGAGACAGUUCGGUCCAUAUCCGGUGUAGGCGUUAGAAUAUUGAGAGGAGCCUUCUUUAGUACGGGAGGACCGAGAAGGACAUACCUCUGGUGUACCAGUUAUCGUGCCAACGGUAAACGCUGGGUAGCUAUGUAUGGAGAGGAUAACCGCUGAAAGCAUCUAAGUGGGAAGCCCACCUCAAGAUGAGUAUUC
This 1240-nucleotide ribosomal RNA is filed under the name metagenome. RNAcentral's name for it is "bacterial LSU rRNA". It matches the Rfam family "Bacterial large subunit ribosomal RNA", at positions 1564 to 2813 of the family's 2925-position model. The record is from RNAcentral.